CCCUUAGAUGUCCUGGGCCGCACGCGCGUUACACUGAUGCAUUCAACGAGCUUAUAACCUUGGCCGAGAGGCCUGGGCAAUCUUGUUAACGUGCAUCGUGAUAGGGAUAGAUUAUUGAAAUUAUUAAUCUUGAACGAGGAAUUCCUAGUAAACGCAGAUCAUCAAUCUGCAUUGAUUACGUCCCUGCCCUUUGUACACACCGCCCGUCGCUACUACCGAUUGAAUGGUUUAGUGAGGCCUUCGGAUCCGCGACUCGUUUUGUGGAGAAGUUGGACAAACUCAGUCAUUUAGAGGAAGUAAAAGUCGUAACA
Molecule: ribosomal RNA, 311 nt
Filed under: uncultured eukaryote
Lineage: Eukaryota
Description: partial 18S ribosomal RNA
Rfam family: Eukaryotic small subunit ribosomal RNA
Source: RNAcentral